GAUGAACGCUGGCGGCGUGCCUAAUACAUGCAAGUCGAGCGAACAGACGAGGAGCUUGCUCCUCUGACGUUAGCGGCGGACGGGUGAGUAACACGUGGAUAACCUACCUAUAAGACUGGGAUAACUUCGGGAAACCGGAGCUAAUACCGGAUAAUAUAUUGAACCGCAUGGUUCAAUAGUGAAAGACGGUUUUGCUGUCACUUAUAGAUGGAUCCGCGCCGCAUUAGCUAGUUGGUAAGGUAACGGCUUACCAAGGCAACGAUGCGUAGCCGACCUGAGAGGGUGAUCGGCCACACUGGAACUGAGACACGGUCCAGACUCCUACGGGAGGCAGCAGUAGGGAAUCGUCCGCAAUGGGCGAAAGCCUGACGGAGCAACGCCGCGUGAGUGAUGAAGGUCUUCGGAUCGUAAAACUCUGUUAUUAGGGAAGAACAAAUGUGUAAGUAACUAUGCACGUCUUGACGGUACCUAAUCAGAAAGCCACGGCUAACUACGU
Molecule: ribosomal RNA, 496 nt
Filed under: uncultured bacterium
Lineage: Bacteria
Description: partial 16S ribosomal RNA
Rfam family: Bacterial small subunit ribosomal RNA
Source: RNAcentral